This is a non-coding RNA of Lolium perenne, 2459 nucleotides long. The record is from RefSeq and is a predicted model, not a curated record. NCBI's taxonomy places the organism in Eukaryota, Viridiplantae, Streptophyta, Magnoliopsida, Poales, Poaceae.
UGCUUUCGUGUCAAGUCCAUAAUUUUCUUUCCGUUUUAAGACCAACAACGCUCACCGUGAUUACCACCGCCACUGCAGAGGACGACACCAGCGUCGCUAACGACGUGAAGCUGCCCAUCCUCGUGGAUUUCUACCGCCACAUCAACUACCGCUAACAUUGAUAAUCCAGUAACAUCGGAAUUGACUGUCUUAUGGAGGACUACUUUCUGCUACUGAAACUCUCAAGGUUCAUAUGAGAUGUGCUAUUGUGCAGGUGCACUAAUACUAUUCAGCGAUGGCAUCUUAUUUUGCGAUGUGUUUGUUCAAUCAUGGAAAUUCAACCGUAGAAGAUCAUUUGUCCUAUGCUCAUUGUGUUCGUUUUCUACCUUGCACAAUGGGUGAAUUGGUCUCUACUUUCUGUUGUAGAUGCAAACGUAUCAGUUUUGAUUUGUUAUUGAAUUUUCUUGACAGUUAAGUGGUUCUCGUGUAUGGUUGUUUAUUGCUCAUUUAUUUAGUUACUAAUAUGCAUAGGUAGACCUUGUCCAUAGUGGGUGUUUAGGCCAAGUAUGCAGGUCACUGUAUACAUGCCUACAAGCCUCAUUUACUGUAUACAUCCACUUUAUCCUACAUAAUUAAGUUGUCAACAUAAGCAAAUGACUUCAGCUUUGUAGCUUCUAUCCCUUGUAUGGUUUCAGCAAGGGACAUACAGAUGUUUGUUGCAUAUCUGAAAUCAGUUAAUAUGUAAUUUUACUGAGAGAAUGCAUAGCAUAUCUAUGCAUCCGUGCCGUGGAGUUGGUGGCUAGCAAGAUCUUCUGGAAGAGGAGCAAGACACAUCCUGAUAUUGAAACAACGGACUGAAAUCACUUCUGGAUUUGCACAAACACAAAUUAUAUGCAUUGAGGUGAGUUUCUUAUAGCUUCUGCAAUCGAGUUUGACUCUGUUUGGAGUUCUGUCAGUAAAAAAUCAUGUUUUCUAUGGACCGUGGAGAGUUGAGGAGUGGAAUUGUUCCAUACAGCCCAAUUGCACAUGGGUUUUUCGGUGGAAGAGUGACAGCUGAACAAGUCUCUGCUAUAUCUUAUCUGAAAGAGCAUACACGCAAUAAAGCUGGAGAAGAACAAGCUUUUUUGUCUUCAAAUGGAAAACUAGGUAUUAUACGUAUUGCACCUAAAUCCGUAUUUUGAUGUCUUGCACUAAUUAUUCUCCCUUACCAGGAAUGAGGAAGAAAAGUAACCUUGGUAAUAACGGGUAUUUAUUAAAGCUGACUUCACACAUCACAACCUGGGUUGUAUGGACGCACGGGUGACACUUGGGCGCAGACCAAAAGUGAUAGCUCCCAUGUAUGAUAUUCUUUAGAUAGGUUUUGGUACACUCCUUCCUCUCACCCUCAUUCUUCCUUUAGAGCGAGAUUUGGCAGAUUGGAAGAUAAGAUUCAUGCUUGUUGGUGAUUAGAAUCUUGGCUUCAUGUUGGGUUGGGGACAGUGGAUGAAUUUCAAACCCGUGUAAGGAGACUAGAAGCUCGGCUGUCACGUGUAACAUUACCACAUGAUUUGCAUGGUUCAGUUGACUUCAAAAAAUAUCCAUUUCGAAUAUGUCAUGUUCGGACUUGACCACAUCGAUUGCAACAGUUUAAAGUUACUAUUCCAAAAAUAUAUGUGGUUAUGUUGUGAAUGAAUAACCAGAUGGACUGCGUUGUUGAAGUCACCUGCCAGAAUUGAUGCACGCGUGGCUUUCAGAUGCACUUGACCAUUGUAGACAACAGUGAAGAGGUCUUUGAAUGGUGCAUCGGGCAAACAGAUGUAGAUCAAUUUCUUCAAGUAUCUCCUAAUGAAUAUAUAGAACUCCCUGAGGUAUUAACUCAUCAACUUAUCCAGACCUCAUACAAUGUACCAAUACUUGAGGCGACAUUUUGCAAUAUCCGCUUAAAUAGUUAGCUGCAACUCUCUUUGGAGAUCGAGCUCCAUGUAGCUCGAUUUUUGGAAAAAAUUUGAAAUCCACGUUUUAAGGUUUCAAAAAUAUUCCCAAAAAAUUAUGGAUGUAGCUAACGAUGGUAUUCUACAAUCAUUCAAAACCUCAAUGAUAAAUACCUUAUACUUCGGGAUAGACCAAAAUGACAAGUUCUGACAAAUUUUCGGACUUUCAAAAUGUGUACUAUUCACUAUAUUAGAUGUUUAGAUCUACACAUUUGUCAUUUGUUAUAGCCCAAAAUAUAAGGUAUUUCGUAUUCGUAUUUUUUACAAUUGUAGGAUACAUCUGUAACUACUUGCAGAUUUGUUUUCAGAUUUUGUUGAAACUUCAAACAGGGUUUUCGAAUUUUUCAAAAAGAAUGAGCUACGUGAAGCUUGAGCCCCAAAACGCCACUUUUACUCUACCUUCCCAUGGGUGCUUCUGUUUCUUCUGACACAUAAGCAAUAGUGCCCUGUUUUAACAAGACCAGUUUAUUUCUUACUUAUGAGCAAAUGUAUGUUUUCUUACCAUUACUC